Molecule: ribosomal RNA, 207 nt
Filed under: uncultured bacterium
Lineage: Bacteria
Description: partial 16S ribosomal RNA
Rfam family: Bacterial small subunit ribosomal RNA
Source: RNAcentral
UACGUAGGUGGUUUAUUAAGUCAGAUGUGAAAGCCCUGGGCUUAACCUGGGAACUGCAUUUGAUACUGGUAAACUAGAGUAUGGUAGAGGGGGUAGAAUUCCUAGUGUAGCGGUGAAAUGCGUAGAUAUUAGGAGGAAUACCAGUGGCGAAGGCGGCCCCCCUGGGCCUAUACUGACACUGAGGUACGAAAGCGUGGGUAGCGAACA